GACGAACGCUGGCGGCGUGCUUAACACAUGCAAGUCGAACGGAAAGGCCCUGCUUUUGUGGGGUGCUCGAGUGGCGAACGGGUGAGUAACACGUGAGUAGCCUGCCCUUGACUUUGGGAUAACUUCAGGAAACUGGGGCUAAUACCGGAUAGGAGCUCCUGCUGCAUGGUGGGGGUUGGAAAGUUUCGGCGGUUGGGGAUGGACUCGCAGCUUAUCAGCUUGUUGGUGGGGUAGUGGCUUACCAAGGCUUUGACGGGUAGCCGGCCUGAGAGGGUGACCGGCCACAUUGGGACUGAGAUACGGCCCAGACUCCUACGGGAGGCAGCAGUGGGGAAUAUUGCACAAUGGGCGGAAGCCUGAUGCAGCAACGCCGCGUGCGGGAUGACGGCCUUCGGGUUGUAAACCGCUUUCGCCUGUGACGAAGCGUGAGUGACGGUAAUGGGUAAAGAAGCACCGGCUAACUACGUG
Molecule: ribosomal RNA, 468 nt
Filed under: uncultured bacterium
Lineage: Bacteria
Description: partial 16S ribosomal RNA
Rfam family: Bacterial small subunit ribosomal RNA
Source: RNAcentral